ACUAAUAAAUCCGACAUUUCCCAGUUUGAGCUGACCACAGACGGAGCUUAUUCUAGAAUCUUAAAUUGUCAAUUAGCUCAACUCAACCUCAAUGUAACUGAAACGCCACUCUCCCAGUACCUACCAUUUGGUACCUCCCCAUUUUUUUUGUUUCAAACUACAAGCAAACACCUUCCCAUAAAUCUGAAUAUGAAGAAGAACUAGUCACAUAUUCACCAACACUGAUCAACCCAGUCAUGUUUCAUCAAAACCAUUUUCAUCCAUAAUGAUAACAAACAUGGAUUCCACGGAGUUCUGCAAUAUGGGUAUAGCUUCAAUUGUUUUCUUCAUCUUCUUAGACAUGGUUGUCAUUGCACAAACCAUACCCACCACUUUACAAGGCCCAUUUACGCUUGUGACUCACAGUUUGGAUCCAUCAUUGCGUCUCGGCAGUGAUGACUUGCCUAUGGAUAAUCCUAGGCUGAAGAGGAAUGUGACUGCAAUGUUUCCAGAGCAGAUUGCUCUUGCUUUAUCUUCGUCGUCUUCAAUGUGGGUUUCUUGGGUUACUAAUUGGUCUUAAUGUGACUGCCCUUGAUCCAUCAACUGUUGCUAGUGAGGUGUGGUAUGGGAAAGAAAGUGGGAAUUAUUCGAUGAAGAUGACGGGGGUUUCUACGGUUUACAGUCAAUUGUACCCAUAUGAGGGUCUUUGGAAUUACACCUCUGGCAUCAUUCAUCAUGUGAAAAUUGAUGGUAAAGAAGUAACACAACUCUUUUAAUUAUUGCCUUUUCGAUGCUUAAUGUACUCAAUUCAAACAUAGCAGUUAAGAAAAGAUAUAAAGAUAAAAACAUCAAACAAGAAAUUAUCCCUUUACUUGAUCCGAUAAAAAGGCACUGUGAUAGGGAGUAUUAGGACUGGUGAUUUAGGCAAUAAUCAUUUGAUUAAUCAUGGAAGUCCUUUAGUAUGAACCUGCUCUGGCAAUGCCCCAAAUCUGCCAUAUGGCUGUUCAAUAUGAAUUUUGGUGUUAAUGAACACUGCAUACUCCAUACAGGAGUUAAAACAGAUGACCCUUACAUGGAAAUAAGGAUUUGUGUUGUUGAUUAGAAAACUUAAGCUUCUGUACAACUAAUUUCCAAAAUAAUCUAUGUUUUUCAACAAGAAAAUGGAGUGUGGUUGUGAGUUAUAUAAUAGUUCCUUCCCAUUCUUAGCACUGAAUUUCAGAAUUGGAUCAAUUGUUGUGUAUUCUUCACCUAUUCAUGCUAAUCUGGUUAGGUCUUCCAAUGUUUGAAUGUAUUCAUAUAUUUAUACUUAAGAUAAAUGUUUGAAACUAGUUCAAUUCAAAACCAAACCACUAUACUAUUUGCGAGAUGGUAUAAUGCUGCGACCCCAUUGAUUGUGGGAUGCGGCUAACGUAAUUGUCUAUACCCUCUCUUUUACGAUAAUCUUUGUAA
Camellia sinensis is the source of this 1428-nucleotide non-coding RNA. The record is from RefSeq and is a predicted model, not a curated record. Lineage: Eukaryota; Viridiplantae; Streptophyta; Magnoliopsida; Ericales; Theaceae.